GACGAACGCUGGCGGCGUACUUAACACAUGCAAGUCGAGCGGUAAGGCCUUUCGGGGUACACGAGCGGCGAACGGGUGAGUAACACGUGGGCGAUCUGCCCUGCACUUCGGGAUAAGCCUGGGAAACUGGGUCUAAUACCGGAUAUGACCUCCUAUCGCAUGGUGGGUGGUGGAAAGAUUUAUCGGUGCAGGAUGGGCCCGCGGCCUAUCAGCUUGUUGGUGGGGUAAUGGCCUACCAAGGCAACGACGGGUAGCCGACCUGAGAGGGUGACCGGCCACACUGGGACUGAGACACGGCCCAGACUCCUACGGGAGGCAGCAGUGGGGAAUAUUGCACAAUGGGCGAAAGCCUGAUGCAGCGACGCCGCGUGAGGGAUGACGGCCUUCGGGUUGUAAACCUCUUUCAGCAGGGACGAAGCGCAAGUGACGGUACCUGCAGAAGAAGCACCGGCUAACUACGUG
Molecule: ribosomal RNA, 462 nt
Filed under: uncultured bacterium
Lineage: Bacteria
Description: partial 16S ribosomal RNA
Rfam family: Bacterial small subunit ribosomal RNA
Source: RNAcentral